Molecule: transfer RNA, 76 nt
Filed under: Martinezella jaguaris
Lineage: Bacteria; Pseudomonadati; Pseudomonadota; Alphaproteobacteria; Hyphomicrobiales; Rhizobiaceae
Also listed under: 4 other names
Description: Rhizobium jaguaris tRNA-Lys
Rfam family: tRNA
About the family: Transfer RNA (tRNA) molecules are approximately 80 nucleotides in length.
Source: RNAcentral
GAGAGCGUAGCUCAGCUGGUAGAGCAACUGACUUUUAAUCAGUAGGUCAUGGGUUCGAAUCCCAUCGCUCUCACCA